GCUGUUCUAUAUGACCAGAGGGUGUUCUAUAUGACCAGAGGUUGUUCUAUAUGACCAGAGGGUGUUCUAUAUGACCAGAGGGUGUUCUAUAUGACCAGAGGGUGUUCUAUAUGACCAGAGGGUGUUCUAUAUGACCAGAGGCUGUUCUAUAUGACCAGAGGGUGUUCUAUAUGACCAGAGGGCGUUUUAUGCUGUUCUAUAUGACCAGAGGGUGUUAUAUGCUGUUCUAUAUGACCAGACGUUGCUUUAUGCUGUUCUAUAUGACCAGAGGCUGUUCUAUAUGACCAGACGUUGCUUUAUGCUGUUCUAUAUGACCAGAGGGUGUUCUAUAUGACCAGAGGCUGUUCUAUAUGACCAGAGGGUGUUCUAUAUGACCAGAGGGCGUUUUAUGCUGUUCUAUAUGACCAGAGGGUGUUCUAUAUGACCAGAGGCUGUUCUAUAUGACCAGAGGGUGUUCUAUAUGACCAGAGGGUGUUCUAU
Non-coding RNA from Salmo salar (Atlantic salmon), 480 nucleotides. NCBI's taxonomy places the organism in Eukaryota, Metazoa, Chordata, Actinopteri, Salmoniformes, Salmonidae. The record is from RefSeq and is a predicted model, not a curated record.